GGAAUUAGGGUUUGAUUAUGGCUCAGGAUGAACGCUAGCGGGAGGCUUAACACAUGCAAGUCGAACGGUAACAGAUCCGCUUGCGGAUGCUGACGAGUGGCGAACGGGUGCGUAACGCGUAUGCAACCUACCCUUUACUGGAGAAUAGCCCAGAGAAAUUUGGAUUAAUACUCCAUGGUAUUACAGAUUCGCAUGUUUCUGUAAUUAAAGUUCCAACGGUAAAGGAUGGGCAUGCGUGACAUUAGUUUGUUGGUGAGGUAACGGCUCACCAAGACUACGAUGUCUAGGGGUUCUGAGAGGAUGAUCCCCCACACUGGUACUGAGACACGGACCAGACUCCUACGGGAGGCAGCAGUGAGGAAUAUUGGACAAUGGACGCAAGUCUGAUCCAGCCAUCCCGCGUGCAGGAAGACGGCCCUAUGGGUUGUAAACUGCUUUUAUAUAGGAAUAAACCCCCCUACGUGUAGGGGGCUGAAGGUACUAUAGGAAUAAGCACCGGCUAACUCCGUGC
Molecule: ribosomal RNA, 511 nt
Filed under: uncultured bacterium
Lineage: Bacteria
Description: bacterial SSU rRNA
Rfam family: Bacterial small subunit ribosomal RNA
Source: RNAcentral